Molecule: ribosomal RNA, 351 nt
Filed under: Zariquieya troglodytes
Lineage: Eukaryota; Metazoa; Arthropoda; Insecta; Coleoptera; Carabidae
Description: partial 12S ribosomal RNA
Source: RNAcentral
UUUAAAUGUAAAAUUAAUUACUAAAGUAGUAUUAGUUAUGUUCUUGAAAUUUAAAGAUUUUGGCGGUAUUUUAGUCUAUUUAGAGGAACCUGUUCUAUAAUUGAUAGUCCACGAUUUACUUUACUUAAUUUAUAUGUUUGUAUACCGUUGUUAUUAGAAGAUUUUAUUAGAAUAUAAAUUUUUAAUAUUUUAAAUUAAAAAAUAUAUCAGAUCAAGGUGCAGUUUAUAUUUAAGAAGAAAUGGGUUACAAUAAAUUUAUUUAUACGGAUUAAAGUAAUAAAUUCUUUAUGAAGGUGGAUUUAAUAGUAAUAAAAUUAAUUUAAAUUUUAUGAUUUUAGCUCUAAAAUAUGU